GAUGAACGCUGGCGGUAUGCUUAACACAUGCAAGUCGAACGGACUCUUCGGAGUUAGUGGCGGACGGGUGAGUAACGCGUGAGAAUCUGGCUUUGGGUUCGGGACAACCACUGGAAACGGUGGCUAAUACCGGAUGUGCCGAGAGGUAAAAGAGAAAUUGCCUGAAGAUGAGCUCGCGUCUGAUUAGCUAGUUGGUGAGGUAAAGGCUCACCAAGGCAGCGAUCAGUAGCUGGUCUGAGAGGAUGACCAGCCACACUGGGACUGAGACACGGCCCAGACACCUACGGGAGGCAGCAGUGGGGAAUUUUCCGCAAUGGGCGAAAGCCUGACGGAGCAAUACCGCGUGAGGGAAGAAGGCUCUUGGGUUGUAAAACUCUUUUCUUAGGGAAGAACAAAAUGACGGUACCUAAGGAAUCAGCAUCGGCUAACUCCGUG
This 435-nucleotide ribosomal RNA is filed under the name uncultured bacterium. RNAcentral describes it as "partial 16S ribosomal RNA". It matches the Rfam family "Bacterial small subunit ribosomal RNA", at positions 28 to 507 of the family's 1533-position model. The record is from RNAcentral.